UUUUGGUCCCAUUCUACCUACGAUGGCGUAUUAGGCCACAUCGGAAAAAUAUAAACACUUUUCACUAUGAGAAUAAAGUCGUAAUAUUUGAGAAUAAAGCCAUAACAUUAUGAGAAUAAGUCGUAGUUUAAAAAAAACUGAUAAUU
Sphaeramia orbicularis (orbiculate cardinalfish) is the source of this 146-nucleotide long non-coding RNA. RefSeq lists it as uncharacterized. NCBI's taxonomy places the organism in Eukaryota, Metazoa, Chordata, Actinopteri, Kurtiformes, Apogonidae. The record is from RefSeq and is a predicted model, not a curated record. The transcript is spliced from 3 exons.